ACUGAAGAGAAAACGGGCCUCUCUGAAGAGCAGCUUAAAACCCUUCUGGAAGAAUGUAUGCAGCCUCAGAGAACAAUAAGCAACGUUACCAUGCCAAAGUCUCAGGAAUCUCUUUCUUGUGGAUUAAGUCCCCCUUGUUACACAAGUCAAGACUCCAUUCUUCACUCCACAUCUACUCUUUCCAAAAUGUUAGUUGAAGACCAUAUUGUAGGGAUGUUAACAGCUCUGGAAAAGGCUGGACUUGAAGACAAAAGCUUAUGUGUUAAUGCUGAGAGUGAAAUCCCUAGCUACUAUAUAGGCAAAGCAUUGGCUGAUAGUCACUUAUCAAAGGAUUCACUGGCCCAAACAGAGGAACCUGAUGACCUAGAAGGUUUACAGAAGAUGAGAGAUAAGAUUAUUACUGAAGGUUACUUUAUGUCAAGAGCACUCAACACUGAAAGGCUGAAGAAACCUUCUUUCUUGGGUGAACCAUUAUACUGCAUCAGCAUGAACAAUGAGCCAUCCACAGGGCCUGACAUUCUCAGCAUACCACUGAAAACCAAAGGAGAUGCAAGCAUCUGAAGAGUGGAGACAGGGAAGAAGGUGGCCUACUCCAGAGGACAGGCAGGUGGUGGUUAUGAUGGUUGGAGAAUCAAAGAGAAGCACCUGUGCCAGGGGCAGCUUCAUCUGAUGCAGGAGUGAAGUGGCUAGAUACAAUCUUGUUUCUCAAGCAGUCAGUAGUGAGGAAAAACUCAUGCUUAACCUGCUGCUCUAACAUGAAUUAAGGUUCUUCUUCACUUACACUACUGAAUAAAAGUAGUAUAGUCAGAAACAAAUCAGAGCUGUCCGCCAUCUUUCUUUCUUACACUGGUUUUUUUUAGAUGGAGUAUAUUAAUUCAAGUAAAAUGUCCUGCACUGUAGCCAGUGUAUAGUGAAAUGAGUAGGUAACUGAUUAUGCUGUUGUUAUAGACAUAGUCAAUAUGAGGUACUUUUAUUGCACAAAAGGGAAAGGAGGUUUCAGCAAAGCAUGUGCUAUUAGUAGUUUUCUGCAUGAGUAUCUCAUUGUGAAAGUUUAAGAGUCUUUAAAGUGACUUUAAAAAUAUUUGAAUCAUAAUCAUACACUAUGUCAGAGCAAUGCAAUAAGGUGUUUUAAUUAUCAAUUUUUGUAGUGGCUGCAUAAUCUUCAACCAUACAGAUCUCAGUCUGUGUGGUUAAUAAACAUCCUUGGUAUAUAGUCAUUUUUCUUACCUGUUCAUAAUUUCAGAAUUCUCUGAAUCUUUUCAUUUUCAAUGAAAACUUAAAAAUGAAACCAAGGAAAAUUCCUUAUAGAUGUUGUUAACUCAUCAGACAUUGAGUGAUUGUGUCUGAGUCUGAUUUUUAAAAUGGUGUGAAGAGGAGUAGUCUUUGGCAGAAUGAAAGUAAGUGCAAAAUAAAACACACUCCAUAGCUUUGUAAUUGUUAUUAUGUUACUGCCAAAUAUUUUGCACUUAUCUGUAAGUUUAAAUUUUGUUCAGAUUUAUUAUAUUCAGUUAAUAUUUAGUCUAACCCUAAAAUAUGUAUCCAAAACUAACAUUUAAAUAGCAGCCCAUUCUUACUAUUUUUCUCAGUUUACUGCUUAAAGAAAUGUAAAUUAAAAAGAAAUGUAUAUUAAAACAAACAAACAAAAAAAAACCCCACAAAAACCAUGAGUUCUGCCUUUCCACAGAAUUGUGUUAUUUGUUUUUGAUAAGGGCAACACAGUUCCAUCUUAUACAGUUAUUCGUGGCCAUAAGAGAGAAGUUGUGAUGCUUAUCAUGUUAGUACAGUUGCCUAGUGUAUUCUGCAGGUAAACUUUUUAUUAUUAUUUUAGACAGGAUUAUAUGUGCUAAUUGUAUUGAGAAAUGGAGAUCCCAAUGGAGUCCAAUUUGAGGCAAAUUCAUUUUCAGAUGAAAUUAUGAAAUGCGUCAGGUUUGUUUUUAAGAAAGAUAAUAGUUGAGCUCUGUUAUAAUAGUAGUUCUAAAAGAUUUAUACCCAUAUAUGAAUAAUCUUCUAUAGAUAGUUGGGUUGUCUGGGUUUCUGCACCUGGUUCAUGCUGUGUAAGCAAAUAAUUGUGUUUGUGUAAAACUGAUCUAUCACAAUUUGGUUUCACAGUCUCUAUAAUAGUAUAGUCUGUGAUACAGGUUUACUGUAAUACAUCAUAUAUACAUCUUAAGGAAAAUAUAAUUAUUAACAUUAAGUAUGCUUUUUUUUUUUUGGUAAGAAAUUUUAAGUAGAUCUUGCUCAUUGCUUCUUCCUCUUAUGAAUAAUAUUGUGCUUUCAGCAAUUCAACAUGUGACUGAUGAUAGAAAAUUGAGGAGAAAGUGACCGUGUGCUUCAUUACACAGCUUUUCCAAAUGUGCCAUUAUACUUCCACCAGUAGUAUUUUACUAUCAUUUCAGACACUCUAGAGGGAAUGAAUUCUCAUCAUUGAAAACUUUUCCAUGACAUAAUCAAUUCUUAAGAGAAAAUUAUUAUUAUAUAUUGUUGCAGUUUGAUUUCAAAGUAUUUAAUCUUGCACUUCAUUAAAAUUCAUGAGUAUAAUAAUUAUACAUGUGCAUAAUAGUUGCACAUAUGAUUUUGUGUGUCUGUCUAUCUAGAUAUGUAGGUAGGUGUAAAAUGUAUAGAAUCGUUUGUUCUUGUUGAUGUUUUCCUUACACACGAUGUACUGUUUGCAUGAAGUCAGCUUGAACCUGGUCUCAGUGAUCUCAGUACAGUUUACUGCCUGUGAGCCCUGCCUGAGUGAACGACACAAGCGCCCAAUGCCUAUCUGCUGGAUGUUGCCUUGGCUAUAG
Long non-coding RNA from Meleagris gallopavo (turkey), 2789 nucleotides. NCBI's taxonomy places the organism in Eukaryota, Metazoa, Chordata, Aves, Galliformes, Phasianidae. The record is from Ensembl.